AUACGGAGGACGCGAGCGUUAUCCGGAUUCAUUGGGUUUAAAGGGUGCGCAGGCGGCCGUGCAAGUCAGCGGUGAAAGCCCGGGGCUCAACCCCGGAAGUGCCGUUGAUACUGCAUGGCUGGAAUGCGGUCGAGGCGGGCGGGACGUGGCGGGUAGCGGUGAAAUGCGUAGAUAUGCCACAGAACGCCGAUAGCGGAGGCAGCUCGCCAGGCCUGCAUUGACGCUCGGGCACGAAAGCGUGGGGAUCGAACAGGAUUAGAUACCCUGGUAGUCCACGCCGUAAACGAUGGGCGCUCGUCGUCGGCGGCAGACAGUCGGCGGCCAAGCGAAAGCGAUAAGCGCCCCACCUGGGGAGUACGGUCGCAAGGCUGAAACUCAAAUGAAUUGACGGGG
Molecule: ribosomal RNA, 393 nt
Filed under: uncultured bacterium
Lineage: Bacteria
Description: partial 16S ribosomal RNA
Rfam family: Bacterial small subunit ribosomal RNA
Source: RNAcentral